UGGGGAAUCUUGCGCAAUGGGCGAAAGCCUGACGCAGCGACGCCGCGUGUGGGAUGACGGCCUUCGGGUUGUAAACCACUGUCGGGAGGGACGAAGCUCUGACGGUACCUCCAGAGGAAGCACCGGCUAACUCUGUGCCAGCAGCCGCGGUAAUACAGAGGGUGCGAGCGUUGUCCGGAAUCACUGGGCGUAAAGGGCGCGUAGGCGGCCUGAUAAGUAGGGGGUGAAAUCCUGCGGCUUAACUGCAGGGCUGCCUCCUAGACUGUCGGGCUCGAGCACGGUAGAGGCAGAUGGAAUUCCCGGUGUAGCGGUGGAAUGCGUAGAGAUCGGGAAGAACAUCGGUGGCGAAGGCGGUCUGCUGGGCCGUUGCUGACGCUGAGGCGCGACAGCGUGGGGAGCAAACAGG
This 406-nucleotide ribosomal RNA is filed under the name uncultured Gemmatimonadota bacterium. RNAcentral's name for it is "bacterial SSU rRNA". It matches the Rfam family "Bacterial small subunit ribosomal RNA", at positions 355 to 776 of the family's 1533-position model. The record is from RNAcentral. Lineage: Bacteria; Pseudomonadati; Gemmatimonadota.